UCGGAUAUGGUGUAAUGGCUAACAUUGCCGCCUCUCAUGUCGUGAGGGGACUUCAACGCGGCAGCUCGGGGUUCGAUUCCCCGUAUCCGAG
This 91-nucleotide transfer RNA is filed under the name Pisolithus microcarpus. RNAcentral's name for it is "tRNA-Glu". It matches the Rfam family "tRNA". Rfam says of the family: Transfer RNA (tRNA) molecules are approximately 80 nucleotides in length. The record is from RNAcentral. RNAcentral also lists the same sequence under 1 other name. Lineage: Eukaryota; Fungi; Basidiomycota; Agaricomycetes; Boletales; Pisolithaceae.